This 462-nucleotide ribosomal RNA is filed under the name uncultured bacterium. Its description in RNAcentral is "partial 16S ribosomal RNA". It matches the Rfam family "Bacterial small subunit ribosomal RNA", at positions 28 to 507 of the family's 1533-position model. The record is from RNAcentral.
GACGAACGCUGGCGGCGUGCUUAACACAUGCAAGUCGAACGGAAAGGCCCUUCGGGGUACUCGAGUGGCGAACGGGUGAGUAACACGUGGGUGAUCUGCCCUGCACUUUGGGAUAAGCCUGGGAAACUGGGUCUAAUACCGAAUAGGACCACGCGCUUCAUGGUGUGUGGUGGAAAGCUUUUGCGGUGUGGGAUGGGCGCGCGGCCUAUCAGCUUGUUGGUGGGGUAAUGGGCCACCAAGGCGACGACGGGUAGCCGGCCUGUGAGGGUGACCGGCCACACGGGGACUGAGAUACGGCCCAGACUCCUACGGGAGGCAGCAGUGGGGAAUAUUGCACAAUGGGCGCAAGCCUGAUGCAGCGACGCCGCGUGAGGGAUGACGGCCUUCGGGUUGUAAACCUCUUUCAAUAGGGACGAAGCGCAAGUGACGGUACCUAUAGAAGAAGCACCGGCCAACUACGUG